This 393-nucleotide ribosomal RNA is filed under the name uncultured bacterium. RNAcentral's name for it is "partial 16S ribosomal RNA". It matches the Rfam family "Bacterial small subunit ribosomal RNA", at positions 523 to 918 of the family's 1533-position model. The record is from RNAcentral.
AUACGGAGGAUCCGAGCGUUAUCCGGAUUUAUUGGGUUUAAAGGGAGCGUAGGUGGACAGUUAAGUCAGUUGUGAAAGUUUGCGGCUCAACCGUAAAAUUACAGUUGAUACUGGCUGUCUUGAGUUCAGUAGGGGUGGGCGGAAUUUGUGGGGUAGCGGUGAAAUGCUUAGAUAUGACGAAGAACUCCGAUUGCGAAGGCAGCUCACUGGACUGCAACUGACACUGAUGCUCGAAAGUGUGGGUAUCAAACAGGAUUAGAUACCCUGGUAGUCCACACAGUAAACGAUGAAUACUCGCUGUUUGCGAUAUACAGUAAGCGGCCAAGCGAAAGCAUUAAGUAUUCCACCUGGGGAGUACGCCGGCAACGGUGAAACUCAAAUGAAUUGACGGGG